UUUCCAUUUCUCAAUGAGUCUACACUAUGUGAUACGGCUAAAAAGCAAAAAAAAAUAUUGUUUUGCAGUUUUUUGUAAUUUUGACUCACGAAGGAAGUGAAAUGCUCUUUACAAAAUGAAACACAUGCCGCACUGCACAAAAUUGGUCAAACAAACAGAUGUUGUUUCCUUCGCCAACGCACUGCAUGAACACACAUGCCGCACUGCAAAGAACAUGCCCACGCACUGCGUGAAACGUGCCCGCCAAACGGAACUACAAAAUGAUUCAAAAAUAAUAAUUCAUCAUGGAAUGUAGCCGCCACUACAAACUGCAACCACGGGUGAUGCCCGGUCCGAAGAUCACACGUGCACGCGGAGUGGCAGUGCACUGCGCCGCCACGCUCGUGCUGCCCCAGCGAGGGAGAAGGGAAGGUGGAAGAGGGUUGUCAAUGUCGGUGGCUUCGUCUCCGCGAUCCCAGCGAGGUGGUGGCCACUCACAAUGUGCCUCUGCUGUGGUAGUGCCGGCGAAUUGAACAUCCACGCUCCGUGAACCGCGCGCCAGGAGCCCAGUCAGAGGAGCUGCUCUCACCGGGGGGUCGUUGGUGUGGGGUGGAUCAGGUCGGCGUGGAGGAUCAGCGGUGCGGCUCUUGCAACGCUGGCGGUCGGAGCAAGGCCCGGCUUUUGGCGCCCAUUGAGAAGCACCUCGCUGGUGGGGAGGGGAUGCAGGGAGGCCACCGCAGGGUGGCUGGGGCGGAUCCACGCCAGCAGCAGCGCGGGGCAUCUGGGGCAGCGCAUCCGGAUCCACACCGGCAGCCGCAUGAGGUGCCUUGGGGUGGCGCCGCCAGAUCCAUGCCGGCAGCCGCACGGGGCUCCUGGGGGCGGCGUGCCUGGAUCCGCUCCUGGUUUUGCACCGGCAGCCGCGCGAGACGCCUGGGACGGUGCGGCGGCGCGGGAAGGUGGCGAUCUAGGUGGGGAAGGUCGGGCGAUGGUGGAGGACGGGGGGAAGAGAGAAAGGGGUUGGGCGGGUGGAAUGAGCGUAGAAGGCGACGGGAGGUCGCCGGGAUUGGGUGGUGGCUGAGCGACGCUGCGAGAGGGUGGGCCGGGGUGCUGCGCGUCGCUGCGGGAGGGGAGGAAGGAGGUGGAGAGGAUAAGGGAGUGGGUGGAGUGGAAGGGUCG
RNAcentral lists this ribosomal RNA (1155 nucleotides) under Triticum aestivum (bread wheat). Its description in RNAcentral is "partial small subunit ribosomal RNA". The record is from RNAcentral. Lineage: Eukaryota; Viridiplantae; Streptophyta; Magnoliopsida; Poales; Poaceae.